This 231-nucleotide long non-coding RNA is filed under the name Lathyrus oleraceus (garden pea). RNAcentral describes it as "Pisum sativum (pea) long non-coding RNA (PSAT_LNC008354)". Lineage: Eukaryota; Viridiplantae; Streptophyta; Magnoliopsida; Fabales; Fabaceae. The record is from RNAcentral.
CCUUGAGUUCUCCAUUGUACCUAGAAAUACGUAGGAGUGAGAUUUAACGUCUCGUCAGGCACCUUAAUAAAAAACCUAUUCUUAGUCUUUUCCUUUUUUCUCUCAAACUUUUAAUAAGAAGAAGAAAGAAAACAAACAAAAGCUAACAUUCUAAUUGCAAAUCUAACUAAAUGCUCCCGUUGAGUACAACGAAUAUGAGGGGUGCUAAUACCUUCCCCUCAUAUAAUCGAC